UAUAGAUCAGUGGCUGAGCGAGCGCGCGGGGGUGCUUGGCCCCCGCGCGCUCGCUCUCUUAGCCACUGAUCUAUAUA
This is a non-coding RNA of Paramuricea clavata, 77 nucleotides long. The record is from the annotation of a GenBank genome assembly. NCBI's taxonomy places the organism in Eukaryota, Metazoa, Cnidaria, Anthozoa, Malacalcyonacea, Plexauridae.